RNAcentral lists this ribosomal RNA (467 nucleotides) under uncultured bacterium. RNAcentral's name for it is "partial 16S ribosomal RNA". It matches the Rfam family "Bacterial small subunit ribosomal RNA", at positions 28 to 507 of the family's 1533-position model. The record is from RNAcentral.
GACGAACGCUGGCGGCGUGCUUAACACAUGCAAGUCGAACGGAAAGGCCCUGCUUUUGUGGGGUGCUCGAGUGGCGAACGGGUGAGUAACACGUGAGUAACCUGCCCUUGACUUUGGGAUAACUUCAGGAAACUGGGGCUAAUACCGGAUAGGAGCUCCUGCUGCAUGGUGGGGGUUGGAAAGUUUCGGCGGUUGGGGAUGGACUCGCGGCUUAUCAGCUUGUUGGUGGGGUAGUGGCUUACCAAGGCUUUGACGGGUAGCCGGCCUGAGAGGGUGACCGGCCACAUGGGGACUGAGAUACGGCCCAGACUCCUACGGGAGGCAGCAGUGGGGAAUAUUGCACAAUGGGCGGAAGCCGGAUGCAGCAACGCCGCGUGCGGGAUGACGGCCUUCGGGUUGUAAACCGCUUUCGCCUGUGACGAAGCGUGAGUGACGGUAAUGGGUAAAGAAGCACCGGCUACUACGUG